GACGAACGCUGGCGGCGUGCUUAACACAUGCAAGUCGAACGAUGAAGCUGGAGCUUGCUCCGGUGGAUUAGUGGCGAACGGGUGAGUAACACGUGAGUAAUCUGCCCUUGACACUGGGAUAACUGCGGGAAACUGUAGCUAAUACCGGAUACGACACCUUCGGGCAUCCGAUGGGUGUGGAAAGAAUUUCGGUCAAGGAUGAACUCGCGGCCUAUCAGCUAGUUGGUGAGGUAAUGGCUCAACAAGGCGACGACGGGUAGCCGGCCUGAUAGGGUAACCGGCCACACUGGUACUGAGACACGGCCCAGACUCCUAUGGGGGUCAGCAGUGGGGAAUAUUGCACAAAGGUCGAAAGCCUGUUGGAGCAACGCCGCGUGGGGGAUUAAGGCCUUCGGGUUGUAAACCUCUUUUAGUUGGGAAGAAGCGAAAGUGACGGUACCAACAGAAAAAGCACCGGCUAACUACGUGCCAGCCGCCGCCGUAA
RNAcentral lists this ribosomal RNA (484 nucleotides) under uncultured bacterium. Its description in RNAcentral is "partial 16S ribosomal RNA". It matches the Rfam family "Bacterial small subunit ribosomal RNA", at positions 28 to 523 of the family's 1533-position model. The record is from RNAcentral.